Hemiscyllium ocellatum (epaulette shark) is the source of this 572-nucleotide long non-coding RNA. RefSeq lists it as uncharacterized. The record is from RefSeq and is a predicted model, not a curated record. The transcript is spliced from 3 exons. NCBI's taxonomy places the organism in Eukaryota, Metazoa, Chordata, Chondrichthyes, Orectolobiformes, Hemiscylliidae.
UGUUUGACUUCCUUGUACAGCUGCAGUUUGUGUGGUGAAGGUGCUCCCACAAUGUGGUUGGGUGGACAUUCAGAUGGUAACCUCAGUAUUUGUAACACCAAACUCUGACAGAAUUACUCAAUUCAUCAGGACCUGGAUAUUUGCAUUUAGUUCUUCUGGCAACAAAUGGCCACAAACCGAUCAAAGGUGAAAGUGACGGUGAACCAGACAGAGCAGUCAGUGGCUGCAUAAAGCAGGACAGCGUGGAUAUUACACACGGGGACGGAGUCCAUCAGGAAAUAAAACUGUUCCUGAUAAACAAUGGGAAUGUGUCUCAGGAUCAGGUCGAGGAUAAUGACCAGGAGAUCCGCCGCUGCCAUGGCCCCCAGGUAACGUCUGACACAUGGAGACAAUCCACAAUCUUUAUAAAGCAGGACGUAGAUGGUCACUACGUUAACUGUGAGGAAGGAAAACAAACCCAUUAUCCAUCAGCCUGGAGGCAAAGGGACCCGUUUGAUCGGGGACCCAGUGAGAUUUUCAAAUGUGUCCCUGUAUUCAGGGAUUUAUGAAAAUAAUUGGAGCUGGAAUAACAA